UACGGGGGGGGCAAGCGUUGUUCGGAAUUACUGGGCGUAAAGGGCUCGUAGGUGGCCAACUAAGUCAGACGUGAAAUCCCUCAGCUUAACUGGGGAACUGCGUCUGAUACUGGAUGGCUUGAGUUUGGGAGAGGGAUGCGGAAUUCCAGGUGUAGCGGUGAAAUGCGUAGAUAUCUGGAGGAACACCGGUGGCGAAGGCGGCGACCUGGUCCGAUACUGACGCUGAGGCGCGAAAGCGUGGGAGCAAACAGG
This 252-nucleotide ribosomal RNA is filed under the name uncultured bacterium. RNAcentral describes it as "partial 16S ribosomal RNA". It matches the Rfam family "Bacterial small subunit ribosomal RNA", at positions 524 to 776 of the family's 1533-position model. The record is from RNAcentral.